UAGAGUUUGAUCCUGGCUCAGAUUGAACGCUGGCGGCAGGCCUAACACAUGCAAGUCGAACGGUAACAGGAAACAGCUUGCUGUUUCGCUGACGAGUGGCGGACGGGUGAGUAAUGUCUGGGAAACUGCCUGAUGGAGGGGGAUAACUACUGGAAACGGUAGCUAAUACCGCAUAACGUCGCAAGACCAAAGAGGGGGACCUUCGGGCCUCUUGCCAUCAGAUGUGCCCAGAUGGGAUUAGCUAGUAGGUGGGGUAACGGCUCACCUAGGCGACGAUCCCUAGCUGGUCUGAGAGGAUGACCAGCCACACUGGAACUGAGACACGGUCCAGACUCCUACGGGAGGCAGCAGAAGGG
RNAcentral lists this ribosomal RNA (356 nucleotides) under uncultured Escherichia sp. RNAcentral's name for it is "bacterial SSU rRNA". It matches the Rfam family "Bacterial small subunit ribosomal RNA", at positions 1 to 359 of the family's 1533-position model. Lineage: Bacteria; Pseudomonadati; Pseudomonadota; Gammaproteobacteria; Enterobacterales; Enterobacteriaceae. The record is from RNAcentral.